This 422-nucleotide ribosomal RNA is filed under the name uncultured Flavobacterium sp. RNAcentral's name for it is "bacterial SSU rRNA". It matches the Rfam family "Bacterial small subunit ribosomal RNA", at positions 353 to 772 of the family's 1533-position model. The record is from RNAcentral. Lineage: Bacteria; Pseudomonadati; Bacteroidota; Flavobacteriia; Flavobacteriales; Flavobacteriaceae.
AGUGAGGAAUAUUGGUCAAUGGGCGCAAGCCUGAACCAGCCAUGCCGCGUGCAGGAUGACGGUCCUAUGGAUUGUAAACUGCUUUUGUACAGGAAGAAACACUCCCUCGUGAGGGAGCUUGACGGUACUGUAAGAAUAAGGAUCGGCUAACUCCGUGCCAGCAGCCGCGGUAAUACGGAGGAUCCAAGCGUUAUCCGGAAUCAUUGGGUUUAAAGGGUCCGUAGGCGGUUUUAUAAGUCAGUGGUGAAAUCUGGUCGCUCAACGAUCAAACGGCCAUUGAUACUGUAGAACUUGAAUUACUUGGAAGUAACUAGAAUAUGUAGUGUAGCGGUGAAAUGCUUAGAGAUUACAUGGAAUACCAAUUGCGAAGGCAGGUUACUACGAGUUAAUUGACGCUGAUGGACGAAAGCGUGGGGAGCGAA